This 226-nucleotide unclassified non-coding RNA is filed under the name Hevea brasiliensis (rubber tree). Lineage: Eukaryota; Viridiplantae; Streptophyta; Magnoliopsida; Malpighiales; Euphorbiaceae. The record is from RNAcentral.
CUUCAUGAAAGGUCCCUUUUAACAAUUAAUUGGGUUGUCUUCAUUCCCAACUUCACCCAAGCCUUCUAAUGGUUUGUUAAAUCACUUCAUCUCUUGUAUUUCUUCGCCGUGUUCUAUACGAAUUCCGCACUUAGUUGAACUGCUUUCCCUGUUUGGAUGUGGACGGGAAUUCAUUGACUUGGAAGAAGAGGCUAAGGUGAUUUGAUGUAAAUUGGGAAGAUCCAGG